This is a long non-coding RNA of Lagopus leucura (white-tailed ptarmigan), 271 nucleotides long. RefSeq lists it as uncharacterized. NCBI's taxonomy places the organism in Eukaryota, Metazoa, Chordata, Aves, Galliformes, Phasianidae. The transcript is spliced from 2 exons. The record is from RefSeq and is a predicted model, not a curated record.
GAUUGGCUGAGAAGACAACGACAAAAAGAGAGGAGCGUGGAACUGAAGAUUUCUCUGAGAGCUGCCGCUGCACAUGCGCAGUGAUCCGCAAUGAACAGCCUUGUGGAGAUUAUGCAGAAGCUGCAGCUGAAGGACUGAGAGGAAGAGCAGCAGAAGGCAGCAGCUGCAGUGCGUGGUGUUACAGGGCAGUGUUCCGAAUGCCGCCCUACUUGGCACUCCAAAUUUGGUUGUGGUCAAUAAAAAAUAGUCGCAAUUAGAGACUGACAAAGAG